GCAAUAAUCCCAAAAUGGAUCUUUUGACCUGACCAUUGUAUCUUCUUUCCUGUUUUUUAAUAAAUAAAAAAUAAUAAUAUAUAAGUAUACAAACGUUAGGCGUUCAUGCUCUUUAUAAAAAAUAAAACAAUAAGUUCAUAAUAAAUACACCAUAUGAAUAUCUUCAUUAAAUGUUUUAACAAACAUCACACCUAUUUAGUACAUACCAAAAAAAAAAUACAUGAUCUAAGUUUUCACAUUAAAUAAUUUAGCAAAGAUCACACCUACUUAAAAAAAACCCAAAGAAAAAUAUACUAUAUAAAUUUUUACAUUAAAUACUUCAACAAAUAUCAAAUCUACUUAAAUAUCAACAUUCCCAAUAUACACCAUAUAAAUUUUCAGUUUGAAUACUUCAACAAAUAUACUUAAAUAUCAACAUACCCCCAAAAAAAAAAAGUACCAUUAAAUAUCAAAUCUACUUAAAUAUAAACAUACCCAAAAUCUACUUAAAUAUCAACAUACCCAAAUCUACUUAAAUGCUUUAGCAAAUAUCAACAUGCCCAAAAAAAGGCACAUUUUCUUUUUUUUCAUUAAAUGGUUUAACCAUGGUUUAGUUAUUUUAUAACUAUGGUUAAAAAUAAGGUUUUAUACUUUAUAUUCUUGUUUUCAUUGAAAACAAAUAUCGUUUAAAAUAGCGAGAUGCCUGAAGACUAUGGGUAAUCUCUGGUUUCCUUCAAAACAGGGAGAGGCCUGGAGCUGAAAGGGGAGGAUGGGCUGGAGCUGAAAGGGAGAGUAUGGGUAAUCGCUGCUUCAUUGAGAACAAAGAGAGUCUUGGAGCUGAAUAGCUGCUCCAUUGAAAGCAGGGAGAUGCCUGGAGCUGAAAGGGGAGGAUCGGCUGGAGCUGAAAGGAUUAGAAAAUGAAAGGGGAAUUCUAUGUUAGAGAGAAGGGGUUUCUAUGUUAGAGAGGGAAAUUGAAAGGGGCUUCUAUCUGUGAGAGAGAUUGAAAGGGGGUUUUCUGUUAGAGAGAGAAAAUGAAAUAGAAAUUGAAAGGGGGUUUUCUGUUAGAGAGAGAAAAUGAAUGGGGUUCUUGGGGUUUUUCUCUGUAAUUGCAAGAGCAAGAAGAUGAAGUUUUUUUUUGAAAUUUGCAGGAGCAUGAAGAUUAUGAAAUUUGCAGGAGCAUAAAAUUAGGUUAGCUGAUUUUAAGAUUUUUUUUUUUUUUUAGUUUUUGUAUGUAUUUAGGGAUGCCUAAAUAUUGAAGGUUUAAUCUGAUUCUAUGUUUUUUUUUAAUGUAUAUUUUUGUAAUUUGCAGGAGUAAAAAAGUUUAAUGUAUGCAUAUAUUAUUCAUCACAGAAAUAUGGUUUUUGGAUUGAUAUGGUUUUCUUUACUUUGCAUCUAUAUUAUUUCUAUACACAAUAAUUUCCUCCAUAAAUUUACAAGCAAACAAUAUGUCAUUUGCAACAUAACUACGAAGCAUUGACAUGUUUAAGUUAAAAAGAAAAAAAAAAAAAUCAUACCUUCAAUCUGUAAAUGAGGUUUUGAAGAGGAAGAACGUGAUUUUAGCAUAAAC
This 1546-nucleotide long non-coding RNA is filed under the name Amborella trichopoda. RNAcentral describes it as "long non-coding RNA (ATRI_LNC001830)". Lineage: Eukaryota; Viridiplantae; Streptophyta; Magnoliopsida; Amborellales; Amborellaceae. The record is from RNAcentral.